Molecule: non-coding RNA, 548 nt
Organism: Tetranychus urticae (two-spotted spider mite)
Lineage: Eukaryota; Metazoa; Arthropoda; Arachnida; Trombidiformes; Tetranychidae
Source: RefSeq, a predicted model, not a curated record
AACUUUGAUUUGAUGAUGUGAAGUUUAAUCAAAAUAACAUUAUUUAUACCAAUUUUGUUUUCUAAAAGCAAAAAGAAAUUGAUUAAUCAAUAUUGAUUAUCAUCUUGACCAAGCUUCUGCUUAUCAAUCAGAUAAAUAUCAUUCAAUGUAAUCAUAUUUUUUCUGUUCAACAUCUUCCAAGCUCACGCUGAGAUGUUCAUUAAGACUCACAACAGUGAUUGGAAACCAAAUACGGAUCAAAUUGAAUUAACUAUUCCAUUGGAAAUAAAAGCUCGCAAUUAAGCUAUAACAUGAAGUUAUCCAGUGAUGGACAAUACUUGAUGAUUUGGAUCCAUAAUUUGCAUCUAAUGAGACUCAAGGAAACCCUUAACUGGCCAAUAUUGGAAAGUUAUCGUUUACAAUUAAUAGUGAACAAAUAAAUGGAUGAUAACAUUCAAAAAGUGGCUCAUCAACAGCCUGGAGAAGUGAUUUUUAUUUACAAAAAUAACGGUUAAACUUCACUAAUAAAUGUGUAUUUAUAAUAACAAGAUGAACUCCUUUUUUGUGUA